This 227-nucleotide unclassified non-coding RNA is filed under the name Hevea brasiliensis (rubber tree). Lineage: Eukaryota; Viridiplantae; Streptophyta; Magnoliopsida; Malpighiales; Euphorbiaceae. The record is from RNAcentral.
GUAACUAACAGCCAACAUGGCAAGGUAUAUAUUCUGCACUUUCAACAUUGAUUGAACUUGAAUUUCUGGAUUCUGGAUAAUUUCACAUGUUAUGGUCUAUUAAAUAAUGUCAUCUAAUAUAAUCUAAUUUCCUAGUAGCCAAUAGUAAUUACCUCGUUUCUCUGUAUGGGAAAAUUACGUUCAUAUUAACAUUGUUAACAAUCAUGUAUGGUUUGAAAUUUAGAGUU